RNAcentral lists this ribosomal RNA (447 nucleotides) under uncultured bacterium. RNAcentral's name for it is "bacterial SSU rRNA". It matches the Rfam family "Bacterial small subunit ribosomal RNA", at positions 355 to 825 of the family's 1533-position model. The record is from RNAcentral.
UCGAGAAUCUUCCGCAAUGGGCGAAAGCCUGAUGGAGCGACGUCGCGUGAUGGACGAAGUGCUUCGGCACGUAAACAUCUUUUAUGUGGGAUGAAAUUAUUGACAGUACCACAUGAAUAAGGGGCUCCUAACUCUGUGCCAGCAGGAGCGGUAAUACAGAGGCCCCAAGCGUUAUCCGGAAUCACUGGGCGUAAAGGGUGUCGAGGCGGUUGUAUUAGUCGUUCGUAAAAUCUACGAGCUUAACUUGUAGGCGGCGAACGAAACGGUACGACUUGAGGUUUGGAGAGGUGCGUGGAACUCACGGUGUAGGGGUGAAAUCCGUUGAUAUCGUGGGGAACACCAAAGGCGAAGGCAGCGCACUGGCCAAAAUCUGACGCUCACACACGAAAGCUAGGGUAGCGAAGAGGAUUAGAUACCCUGGUAGUCCCUCGGGCUGGCAAGGCGCAU